RNAcentral lists this ribosomal RNA (369 nucleotides) under uncultured bacterium. RNAcentral's name for it is "bacterial SSU rRNA". It matches the Rfam family "Bacterial small subunit ribosomal RNA", at positions 524 to 898 of the family's 1533-position model. The record is from RNAcentral.
UACGUAGGGGGCUAGCGUUGUCCGGAUUUACUGGGCGUAAAGGGUGAGUAGGCGGUAAUGUGUGUCAGAUGUUUAAUCUAUGGGCUCAACCCAUAUCAGCAUUUGAAACUACAUAACUUGAGUGCAGGAGAGGUAAGUGGAAUUCCUAGUGUAGCGGUGGAAUGCGUAGAUAUUAGGAGGAACACCGGUGGCGAAGGCGACUUACUGGACUGUAACUGACGCUGAGACACGAAAGCGUGGGGAGCGAACAGGAUUAGAUACCCUGGUAGUCCACGCCGUAAACGAUGAGUGCUAGGUGUUGGCUGAGAAGUCAGUGCCGAAGUAAACGCAAUAAGCACUCCGCCUGGGGAGUACGGUCGCAAGACUGAA